RNAcentral lists this ribosomal RNA (468 nucleotides) under uncultured bacterium. RNAcentral's name for it is "partial 16S ribosomal RNA". It matches the Rfam family "Bacterial small subunit ribosomal RNA", at positions 28 to 507 of the family's 1533-position model. The record is from RNAcentral.
GACGAACGCUGGCGGCGUGCUUAACACAUGCAAGUCGAACGGAAAGGCCCUGCUUUUGUGGGGUGCUCGAGUGGCGAACGGGUGAGUAACACGUGAGUAACCUGCCCUUGACUUUGGGAUAACUUCAGGAAACUGGGGCUAAUACCGGAUAGGAGCUCCUGCUGCAUGGUGGGGGUUGGAAAGUUUCGGCGGUUGGGGAUGGACUCGCGGCUUAUCAGCUUGUUGGUGGGGUGGUGGCUUACCAAGGCUUUGACGGGUAGCCGGCCUGAGAGGGUGACCGGCCACAUUGGGACUGAGAUCCGGCCCAGACUCCUACGGGAGGCAGCAGUGGGGAAUAUUGCACAAUGGGCGGAAGCCUGAUGCAGCAACGCCGCGUGCGGGAUGACGGCCUUCGGGUUGUAAACCGCUUUCGCCUGUGACGAAGCGUGAGUGACGGUAAUGGGUAAAGAAGCACCGGCUAACUACGUG